This is a non-coding RNA of Podarcis lilfordi (Lilford's wall lizard), 72 nucleotides long. The record is from the annotation of a GenBank genome assembly. Lineage: Eukaryota; Metazoa; Chordata; Lepidosauria; Squamata; Lacertidae.
GGAAGUGUGGUGUAGUGGUCAGCGUGUUAGGCUAGGACCUGGGAGACCGGGGUUCGAAUCCCCACUCGGCCA